Molecule: ribosomal RNA, 492 nt
Filed under: uncultured bacterium
Lineage: Bacteria
Description: partial 16S ribosomal RNA
Rfam family: Bacterial small subunit ribosomal RNA
Source: RNAcentral
AGUGAACGCUGGCGGUAGGCCUAACACAUGCAAGUCGAACGGCAGCACAGUAAGAGCUUGCUCUUACGGGUGGCGAGUAGCGGACGGGUGAGGAAUACAUCGGAAUCUACUUUUUCGUGGGGGAUAACGUAGGGAAACUUACGCUAAUACCGCAUACGACCUACGGGUGAAAGCAGGGGAUCUUCGGACCUUGCGCGAUUGAAUGAGCCGAUGUCGGAUUAGCUAGUUGGCGGGGUAAAGGCCCACCAAGGCGACGAUCCGAAGCUGGUCUGAGAGGAUGAUCAGCCACACUGGAACUGAGACACGGUCCAGACUCCUACGGGAGGCAGCAGUGGGGAAUAUUGGACAAUGGGCGCAAGCCUGAUCCAGCCAUACCGCGUGGGUGAAGAAGGCCUUCGGGUUGUAAAGCCCUUUUGUUGGGAAAGAAAAGCAGCAGGUUAAUACCCCGCUGUUCUGACGGUACCCAAAGAAUAAGCACCGGCUAACUUCGUG